RNAcentral lists this ribosomal RNA (480 nucleotides) under Prevotella melaninogenica. RNAcentral describes it as "bacterial SSU rRNA". It matches the Rfam family "Bacterial small subunit ribosomal RNA", at positions 28 to 495 of the family's 1533-position model. Lineage: Bacteria; Pseudomonadati; Bacteroidota; Bacteroidia; Bacteroidales; Prevotellaceae. The record is from RNAcentral.
GAUGAACGCUAGCUACAGGCUUAACACAUGCAAGUCGAGGGGAAACGGCAUUGAGUGCUUGCACUCUUUGGACGUCGACCGGCGCACGGGUGAGUAACGCGUAUCCAACCUUCCCAUUACUGUGGGAUAACCUGCCGAAAGGCAGACUAAUACCGCAUAGUCUUCGAUGACGGCAUCAGAUUUGAAGUAAAGAUUUAUCGGUAAUGGAUGGGGAUGCGUCUGAUUAGCUUGUUGGCGGGGUAACGGCCCACCAAGGCAACGAUCAGUAGGGGUUCUGAGAGGAAGGUCCCCCACAUUGGAACUGAGACACGGUCCAAACUCCUACGGGAGGCAGCAGUGAGGAAUAUUGGUCAAUGGACGGAAGUCUGAACCAGCCAAGUAGCGUGCAGGAUGACGGCCCUAUGGGUUGUAAACUGCUUUUGUAUGGGGAUAAAGUUAGGGACGUGUCCCUAUUUGCAGGUACCAUACGAAUAAGGACCG